Molecule: long non-coding RNA, 37398 nt
Filed under: Malus domestica (apple)
Lineage: Eukaryota; Viridiplantae; Streptophyta; Magnoliopsida; Rosales; Rosaceae
Description: long non-coding RNA (MDOM_LNC003322)
Source: RNAcentral
AUACUAAAGGUAGAUUCAGCAUCAUGUAGAAGUUGAGGAAGUCGACUCGUCGGCACUGAUUCCAAGGAAUAACGCUUAUUCUCAAUAAGGUAGGAACUUGCAUAAGUAGUAACUCUCACUAAAAAACCCAAAGGCUAUGGCAAAAACUCGAGUAGGGACAAAAUCCAUAGUCUAAGGAAAAAUGUAUGAGAAAUGCAAAGUUAAAAGAAACGUUUACAGGACGUCAUCAGGGAUAUGACCAGCCCAAGGUGGGUCCUCAUUAAAACCUAGUUAGGUAGCAAAAACCCAUUGGAAAAAAUGCUCCUAAUCGUAGGGAAAAAGAGUACAUUAAGAUCAAGCAAGUAUCUACAUGAUACUCCCCCUGAGUUUGACAUAAUUCCAAAGAGAAAUAGCAAAGUUACAACUUAGAAAGUUUACGCAUACCAAUUCCAUGAACAAGCUUCUGAAACGUCGCAUUCGGCAGUGAUUUGGUGAAGAGGUCGGCCAGAUUAUCUUGCGAACGGAUUUGCGUGACUUCAAUCUUCUGAUGCUCUUGUUGUUAAUGUGUAAAGAAAAACUUCUGCACAAUGUGCUUGGUGUUGUCUCCUUUGAUGUAACCCUUAUUGAGCUGUUCGAUGCAACCUGCGUUGUCCUAAAAAAUUGUCGUCGGGGCAUUAACGGCGGGAUGAAGAUCGCAAGAGCUUCAAAUAUGGCCCACUACUGCUCUUAACCAAAAGCAUUCUUGAGUUGCUUCAUGUAAGGCGAGAAUUUCAGCAUGGUUAGACGAAGUGGCAACUAAGGACUGUUUAGUUGACUACCAAGAGAUUGCAGUGCCUUCAACGGUAAAGACAUAACCCGUUUGAGAACGCGCCUUGUGCUGAUCGGAUAAGUAUCUAGCGUCGGCAUAACCAAUAAGGUGAGAAUCAACCCGAUGAGCAUAGGGUGCGGCAUCACUUGAGGAUUCGUAGGGAUAGAACAAGCCCAAAUCCGUAGUACCCUUAAGGUAAUAGAAGAUGUCUUUCACGCCAGUCUAAUGUCUGUGUGUUGGUGCAUUGCUGUAUCUUGCCAAAAGAUUAACAGCGAAGGUGUCGGGUCUAGUGCAUUGAGCUAAGUACAAUAAAGUGCCUAUCACACUUAGAUAAGGAACUUCAGGCUCCAAAAUCUCUUCAUCAUCCUCUUUUGGACGGAAGGGAUCUCGUUUUACAUCUAGUGUACGAACGACCAUAGGAGUACUGGAAGACUUCGCUUUAUCUUCAUUCAAACGGCACAACUUUUUGGGUGUAGUUCGAUUGAUGUACUAGGAUUCCAUCCGAACAAUGCUCUAUAUCGAGACUGAGACAGUAUUGAGUCUUACCUAGAACUUUCAUCUCAAAUUCUGACUUCAGGUGCGAAGCAGUUCUCGUGAGCUCUUCACGAGUUCCGAUGAGAUUCAUGUCAUUGACAUAUACUGCAACAAUCGUAAAUCCGGAAUGUGACUUUUUAAUGAACACACAAGGGCAUAGUUCGUUGUUCACAUAUCCCUGACUAGUCAAAUACUCACUUAGACAGUUAUACCACAUUAUUCCAGAUAGUUUCAAAUCGUAGAGUGAACGCCUCAACCAAAUUGAGAGCGUGUUCUGAGGUUUGGAAAUAUUUGAACCAGUCAAUGUAAGUCAUUCGGGAACUUUCAUAUAAAUUUCCGUAUCAAGAUCCCCAUAGAGAUACGUGGUUACUACGUCCAUCAGCUGCAUAUCCAGUUUUUCAGAAACUACCAGACUGAUAAGGUAGCGAAAAGUAAUCACAUCCAUAACGAGUGAGUAAGUUUCAUCAUAGUCAAUCCCGGGACGUUGCGAGAAACCUUGUGCUACAAGACAAGUUUUGUAACGCACAAUCUCGUUUUUCUCAUUAUGCUUCCGAACGAAAACCCACUUGUAGCCAAUGGGCUUCAUAUGUGGAGGAGUAGGAACUACAGGUCCAAACACCUUACGUUUCGCAAGUGAAUCGAGUUCGACUUGGAUUGCUUGUUUCCAAUUUGACCAAUCAACUAUACGUUGACAUUUAUCAACGGAACACGGUUCAAUGUCCUUACUUAAUAUGAUCUCAGUAGUUACUGUAAAUGCUAAUGCAUCAUCGAUAAUCAUCUCAUUUCUACGCUACAUCAUCUAAGCUAGUAUAAGAGACCAAAAUCUCAUGAUUCUCAGGAGGAGGAUUCGUCUCUUCAAGAACGCUUCCGUAAUCUAGAAUUUCCUCAUGAGUUGGGUAGAAUGAGUAAGCGAUAUUCAGAUUCACGGUAGGCUCUUCAGGACCUUAUGCCGUGGUUUUCCUCUUCCAGGGGUGUGAAUCCUUUGAACCAAGGGGUCUGCCACGUUUUUGUGUAGGGGCAGAUGAUUGGCUAGCCGCUAAUGUACGUGGAUCACCAGAAUUGACAUCCCGGGCUUCCAGAAGGGCAGUCCGUCGUACAUUUGGUACAUCCAUCUUUGCAGGCGUAUUCGCAGCUGGAAUAUGUGAUCUUGUCACGCGCGCUAGAUUGGUGAAAGCAUCUGGCAUGCUCUAAGCUAUGCUCUGGAGAUCUAAUAUGUGCUGCACUUCAGCUUCGAACUGAGGAGUGCGGGGAUCUAAAUGAGACAAAGUGGAAGUCAUCCACAAUAAUUUGUGUCGUUCAUUAGGAACAUUGAUGUUCUUAUCUCUCCAUAACGGCGGGAAGACUGUCUCAUAGAAGUGACAAUCAGCAAAACGAGCGGUAAACAGAUCGUCUGUCAAAGGUUCUAAGUAACGAAUAAUUGAAAGAGAAUCAUAUCCGACAUAGAUUCCCAUCCUUCGCUGAAGCCUUAUUUUUGUACGUAAGGGCGGCGAGAUCAGCACAUAUACCGCACAACAAAAAACGCACAGAUGCGAUAUAUCGGGUUCGCAUCCAGUGACCAACUGAAGGGCACUAAAUGGUUGUGUCGCAAUAAGCCUUAGGCGGACUAACUUUGCUGCGUGCAAUAUUGCAUGGUCCCAAGCAGCGAUCGGGAACUUGGUACGUAUGACCAAUGAUCGAGCAAUCAUUUGUAAGCAUUUAACGAAAGCCUCUGCCAGGCCGUUCUUGGUGUGAACAUGGGGUACAUGAUGUUCAUCUUCAAUCCCAACUGACAUGCAAUAGUCAACAAAAGUUUUAGAUGUGAAUUCUCCAACAUUAUCCAAUCGAAUAGAUUUGAUCGGAUAAUCAGAGUGGUGAGCCCUGAGCUUGAUAACCUGAGCCAACAGUUUGGAGAAUGCAACGUUCCUUAUGGAAAACAAGCACACAUGUGCCCAACGUGUGGAAGCGUCAACCAAAAACAUAAAAUAUCUAAAUGGUCCGCAGGGAAGUUGAAUCGGUCCACAAAUGUCCCUCUGAAUCCGUUGUAGAAAAAAUGGGAGGAUUUGAACGAAUCUUGUCAUAAGAAGGCUUAGUAAUAAGCUUUCCCAUAGAACAUGUUUGACAUGCGAUUUCAUGGAUCAAACCUAAGCUUCGGGUUAGUGGAUGCCCGUGUAAAGAUUUGAGGAUACGGCACAUCGCUAUUCGUCCUGGAUGUCCCAAACGAUCAUGCCAAAGCGUAAUUUCGUGCACGGUCCCUGUGGUAGGGCCGGCCACAUAGUGGCAUUCUAUGGGGCGUAUGGUCGUAGUAUAUAGACCACUCGGGAUACGCUCUAUCUUCUUGAGAAUACGCUUCUGGCCAUAUUUGUAGGAAGUUAUGCACAUAAAUUCAACUCCGUUUUCUACGUGGUAAUUGUUAUCUUUAAUGUCCUUGAAACUGAGUAACGUUCUUCUGGAACGUGGAGAAUAGAGUGCCUCAGCAAUGGUCAAGAUUGUACCAUUAAACAACAUUAUACGUGCCUUACCGUAUCCUUCUAUCAGGUUGGAUGGGCUUGAGAGGGUUGUCAGAGAUGCAUUCUUAGGUAUGAAGUUAGUGAAAUAGAUGCGUUCACGCAAAACAGUGUGCGUGGUUGCAUUAUCUGCCAGACAACUAACUUUCCCACUAGUCAUACCUAGAAUGAAAAAUUAAUUUGAAUCGGUCACAUGCAUAAAAGUUUAUAAAAACAAAUAUCAAUUCAAAAAUAAUUUCAUUUAUUCAAGGAUUAAAACUUAAUAUCCAAAACAAAUCGCCAACGAAUAAUCCAAAAACAUAAAGGAAAAUUGUUCAAAAUCAACAAAAAACAAGGGGGGGUUCGGCCACUAGGUAGAAUUCGGCCCCAAUGGUCUUAUUUUAACUAAAAAUAAGUCUAUGUCUAAGAUUCUAAUCUUCCAUAGGGGUGGUAUCCUCCUGAAAGUCAGAAACCUCCAUUUUUGUAGUCUCCAGUUCGUCCACUUGCAUGAAGUUUGAUUCAAAGCUUAAAUUUUUAUUGAAAAAUUAAACCUUAAAAUUUUUUGACAAAUAUUUCGUCAGGCAAGAUUUAUAAUUUAAAAAAAAAAUCUGAAAUUUAAAAGAUAAAUUUUAUUUAAAUCCAUAUAACUUCUUUUUACACCCAACUUAAAUUUUAAAUGUUAAUUGUCAUUUUUAUCCUAUUGCAUAAUUACUAUUAAGUACAAAAUAAAAUUAAUAAUAAAACUCAAAUUUAUCAAUAAACUCACACACUAUAAUUAAACUCUACCAUCACUCUGUGUUUAUCCUACAUUUAUUCCGGCUAAAACCUAAUAGCUCUUAUAGAGAAAAACAAGUUUUUUUAUUGGUGGAUGGUGAUUUUGAACUUUUGAAUCCUCCAUGACUCGAUUUAUGAAUUAUUCAAGACAAAUAAUUAUUUCUUUCAAUUAAUUUACAUCCAAACAUGACAUAACAUGCUAAUGAACCCUAAAAGGGGCUCAUAUUUUAGCACAUUAGAAGGUGAAAUAUCAACCAAGGCAUCUUAGGUAAAGCAUGAUAAGCUGAAAGUGAUUUUUGCAGGUGUGAACGUCACAUCCCGGUCACAACUCCGUCGUAGCACGAUAUUGUCCACUUUGGGCCCCGUUCACUCCCUCACGGUUUUGUUUCUGAGAACUCACACGAGAACUUCCCGAUGUCACCCAUCUUGGGAAUGCUCUCUCUCGAACUCGCUUAACUUCGGAGUUCCAAUGGAAUCCAAAGUCAGUGAGUUCCCAAAAGGCCUCGUGCUAUAAGAGGUGGGCAUGUAUGUAUAAAGCACAUCACCCACUCUUCGUUGGUCGAUGUGAGAUGUUACAAUCCACCCCACUUAAAGGGAACUCGGCGUCCUUGCCGACACAUCCGCACCGAACGGUAGAGUGGCUCUGAUACCAUUCUGUCACAUCCCAGUCUCGGCUCCACCGUAGCACAAUAUUGUCCUCUUUGGGGCCCGGCAACGCCCUCACGGUUUUGUUUCUGGGAACUCACACGAGAACUUCCCAGUGGGUCACCCAUCCUAGGAAUGCUCUCGCCCGAACUCACUUAACUUCGGAGUUCUAAUGGAAUUCGAAACCAGUGAGUUCCCAAAAGGCCUCGUGCUAUAAGAGGUGGGCAUGUACAUAUAAGGCACAUCACCCCCUCUCCGUUGGUCUAUGUGGAAUGUUACACUGAAUAACUAUAAGAAUAUGGGAAAUCAGAAAAAGAUGAACACGCAAAAAUUUAUAAAGUUGGUAGAGAUAUUUAUGAACAAGACAAAUGGGUGUAAAGAUAAAUUUACAUAUUGAAUUGAGUUUGUGAGGUAUUUAAGGUAGUAAAUUUGGGUUUAAAGAGAUAUUGAUAGUUUAGUUAAAAACCAAAUGGGUGUAAAGAGUAAGUUGGGUGUCGAAAGAGGUUACAUGAGUUUAAAUAAAAUUUCCCAAAUCUUAACCCAACGAAUGAUUUCGUGGUAAAAUUUAAUUAAAAAUAACGAUUUAUUUAAUAUUAAAAAAAAUCAAAGGUAUAUUUAAACUUAAUAAACUAAAUCCUAUAAUAUUAAAAUCAUAAUAUUAAACAAAUUUAUUUCAUUAACAAAAACAUAAUGUUUGCACAAUUAUAUUGUAAAUUAAAAAAUAAAUUUAUUCUGAAUGGAAAAUUUGUUCAGUCGUCCAUUAACCCGAAAGACAUCAAUUUUCAAAAUUUAUAAAUCCUGAAAAUUACCACUGAGCCAUUGCCAUUCGUCCAUCCUAUGCUCAAAUUCAAGAGACGAAUGGGUAAGAGCUUCCUCAUGACCUUCAAAAGUUUUGUAGUGGUUGCGUGGCUCAUACUUCCACUCCAUGAACCAAUCAUUCCACAAACGGUUUGUGUAGGCCGUCGUACCUGGUCUUCCACGCCAAUCUCAAAAUUGAUCUAAACUAGAAAAAAAUGAAGUAUUACGCAUAAAAAUACAUUAAGUAAUUAUCUAGAGUAAUUAAAAAUAUUAAAUUAAAAAAAAAAAAAAUUUACCAAGAGAUAUGCCAUCAGCCCUACUUCGUUUCAGGGGAGAUGUUCUUCCAUCUAUCAAUAGUCAUAGGGCACCUUGCUCGGAUGAUGACUCCUAUCUCGUGAGCCAAUAUUGAAUGAACACAGAGGUCCGCCGCAUGCAUAUAUCUUGGGUCAUGUUCUACCCUCACUCUUAGGCCUGGUUUGGUACUGAGGUGAUUCUGAAAAAAGUCCCAGCUUUUUUAUGUUUGGUAAACAUUCAGCUUCAAUUUUUUUUCACAGUUUUGGGUGAAAAAAAACCAAAAACACAAAGCUGCAAAACCCAGCUUUGAAAAACCAGCUUUUUUUCAUAUCUGUUUUAAAUAAAAGUUUAUCAAACACUAUAAUACUGCUUUUUUUUUUCAAAAACAUUUUUACAGAAAAGUUUACUAAACACUCUGCUGCUUUAUUUCACAGCUGCUUAUUUUCACAACACAGCAGAAGCAAUUUUUUUUCAAAACACAGUAAUACCAAAUCAGCCAUUAAGCCAAGAUUCUUCUAGACGCCCCGCUCACGGGGCGUCUUCCAAAACAAACUGUACCCAUUCUCAUAUCACCCAUCCCUAAACCGGACCGCCCUCUUUCUUGAUCCCCACAACAUCAAAUCAUUCCCCCACCUCCCAAACCCUUCCCUCACCAACUCUCCAAUUUUUUCCAACCCAAAUUCUCAUAAUUACAAAUUCAAAAUAAUUGAGGAUAGAUAUCAGACCUUUAAAUUUGUGAGAGUUUGAGAGUUGAAUAGAUGGCAAGUGUGAGAGUUUGAGAGAGGGGAAACGAUUUUGAGUGGGGUAGGGGGCAUUUUGGAGAGAAAAGAGAGAAUAAUCUACGACCUAAUAUAAAACGUCAGGAUUUUGCUCGACGAACCAUUUUAUCGGACAAAUGUCUUAAAUUAAAUAAAAACACACGGUAGAAUGUUAAUUUUUCCGACGAACACAUCCAUCGGCAAGUGUUCUAUAAAAAAAAAAUAGGGCCAAAAUUUUGGCCAAAUAAAUUGUUGAAAAAGCACUUCGGCCGAUGAGUUUUUGGUCAGUCAAUUGGGCAAACCCAAAAUUUGGAGGGAAAUUCGAUUUUUAAGAAAAAAAAUCGGGGGAUAUUUUUCACAUUGCUCGACGAAUUUUAGGUUUGGCGUAACGAAAUUUUAUACUUUGCCCUAUGAAAUUACCUUUUUCCAUCGGGUAAGUAAUAAAAUUAAAAAAUAUCUCCAAAGUUUGAAAUUUUUUUUGGGAACAAUUCAAUGAUAACCGAAUUUGAUGAUCAGGUGUAUUCAAUAUGGGUUUGAACUCUCAAGUAGCAUCUUUAGAAAAAAUAACAUAAAUCAAAAGUGAUAUAGCCGUUAUAUCGUUAUGCUAAGUUUGUAAAUUUCCAACCUUUUGAACCAAUCCCUACUCCCUCCACCUUAGUUUUGAUAGUGUUUUAUGUAUGCAUUCUCGUACUAUACCGAAACAAUUUUGACAAUUGGAUCAUGGAAAAUAAUUUUGUAGAAUUCGUAUCCCCACAAUGCAAUCAUUUUGUGAUAACCACUAUUGUAAGCUUUUUAAUUCAUGAUCCAUUCGAUUCACAUGACAACCAGCAUUUGAAGUUUCGCACAAUGAGUCUUUUAACCCUUAAUCUAUAAAUCGAGAUUUACAAAAUAAACGGUUCGAAUCGUUGAAAUUCGAUUUAAAGUGGAUUCCACAACUUUUAUACAAUUCUAAAUUUUGUAUAAAAUGAUAUAGUAUUUGAGUCAAUUCAUGUAAAUUAUAUUUAACCGUUCCAAUGCCAACAAAGUUGACCCACUUCACUUAUUGCAUUGACUUGACUCAAUACUGGUUUGUUACUAACGUGCUUUUAUAAAAAGUGAGUAUAAAAAAAAACUGAGCUCAAAAAUGUGUUUGGUAAACACUUAAAAACAUCUUAUUUUCACAGUUUUGGGUGAAAAAAAAGCUGAAAACGUGAAGCAACAUAAAUGUCGAAUUAUGAUUUCUUGUUAAACGUUGAAUUAUGAUUUUUUGUUAAACGUUGAAUUAUGUGUUUAAGAUAAAGUUUAUAAAUAUUUUUCUUUUAAAAAAAUUAUUUUUAGUAAUUCACCUUUAUUUGUUAAGAAAAUUAAAUUAAUGGCACAUCUAGUAUUAUACAAUUUUUUGUCAUUUCACAUAGUUACAACUGUUUUACAUAAAAAUUUACCAAACAAUAUAAUACUACUUUUUUUUUCCAAAAGCACUUUUACAAAAAGGUUUACCAAACACAGCUACUUUAUUUCACAACUGCUUAUUCUCACAUGACUUUCUCUGUUCCCGCGAAAGUGUGGAAAUCUAUCAACUUCUCAACCAUCCACAAAAAAAAAAACCCAAUAAAAAAUAGGGAACUUUAAAGAAAAGCUCCCGAUACUGUUCACUUUAACGAAAAACCACAUUUUUACACUAAAAAGUCAAUCUUGGUACUAUUUACUUUACCCUUUAUUUUUUCCUUAUCGUUAAAACUCAAAGUUUUCAAACCCUUUUCAUUAGUUUUGCUUAAAAAAUAUCCCACAAAACAGUAAAUUUAUUAACCGUAGAGAAAAAGGAGACCCACGUACAGGUAAUUUAUUUCAGGAUAAAAAUGUAAGGUAUUUACGUGCGUAAUAAAUAGAUGUCAUAAAAUUGAGACAGUGAAAGUGAGUGCAAAACAAAGGAAAACAGAGGAGGUUAAAAACAAAACUAAAAAAGUUAAUAAAUAUUUGUGUGGGGUUUUCUCAGGUGUGGUGUGCAGUGGCAGCCGUCCCGUCACGACUUUGACAGAAUAUUUACCGCGACAAUCAUCAUCGUCGUCAACAACCACACCCCCACACCAGCUAAUUUUACACAGAAAAAAAGAUAAAAUAGUACCCAAUAAGGCAAUAAAGAAAAACAGAGCGUUUUUUGGUCGGGUUUUGAACUUUUUAUUGUAGCUGGAGCUUCAUUUGCCACUUCAACCGCCUCAUCUGGGUCCCCUUAAACCUUGAUCCAAAAGGGUGUGCAGAAGUUUAAUUUAUCUGGGGUUUGAUAGAUUUUUUCUGGGUUUUGGUUUAUUUUUUUUAGAAGGGGUGGGUGUUCUGAGUGCUGGUUGAGGGCCAUUUUUGUUGGUUUGGGGCAAUUGCUUUUGUGUUUUUGUGAAAGUGCUUUUGGGGAUUGGAAUGUGGAGGGACGCCGGAAUUCCUGCUGAUUCUUUCUAUGAAGUCCGCCCUGAGUGUACAGAUGUGCCCAAAACCCGCUUCAAGAUCAAGGUUUCUCCUUCUGUUCUUUGUUUGAUUGUUGGAAUUAGAUAUAAAGAUUGAUUUUUUGGGUAUCCAUUAUCUUAAUUUUGAUCUGUUUCCCAUUUGAAAACUAAGAUAUUGCCUAAUGCAUCAGAUUUGAUAAUUGGUGGUGAUUAAUUUUGGUUAAGAUCAUGAAUUGUGUUCAUAUGGAUCACAAAAUGUUGUGCAUUUUCCAAUUUUAUAGAAUUUUUGGAAGGAAGAAUGUUGGGGACUGCGUUAAUGUUAACAUUAAUUGGUCAGCUUGUUGAAUUUUGUAAGGAGAAUGUAGGAUAGAUAUAGGGAUUAUUCGGGCGAUAAAAAUCUGAGUUAUCAGGAUCUUGUUGGUUCUCAAUAUGGAUCCGAGAGUCAAUAUGCUCCUACUCGGUAACGCCCACCCAAUAUGUUGGGAAUGGUCUGGUGUUGGUUAUGCACAACUUUAAAUAAAUUCUGAAUGCAUAAACGCUUACGUACACGAACAUGAAAAAGAUAAAUUGUGAGCAUUUAAGGGAAAUAUACCUAUAUCUGCACAAAAAUUUUCCUCAAACUCCAUCAUGUCAGGAUCUUUUAUUUGAAAGUUUUCUGAAGUUUGGACAUUUUUAUCUCUUUCUCCUUCUCCAUUUAUCAAGAUAUGUUUGUAAUGCCAAUUUUUGCUGGAUACCAAAGUACUAUGGAUCUGAACAUUGAUCUAGAUUAUGGUUCAUAGGGGUUAGCUCUUAUAAGAAUCUGAUUUGAUUAUAUUAAGGCUUGUAAACAUUGAGAAACUGAUAAAGACUCAUUGUGUAUUCUAUAAAAUGUGUUUGCAAUUAUCUUAUUACUUCAUAAUGAUUUCAAUGUCUCAUUACCGUGAUGUGCUUCUUCCAAUUUCAACGCCUUAUUUCUAUUUGCUCAUGCAGGCAGGUAAAACUCUUAGUGUAAGGAAAUGGCAGGCUGCAUUUAGUCCUGAAGGCCAACUGGAUAUAGGCAAGACUUUAAGUCGAAUUUAUCGUGGGGUGAGUGAAUCUUCAUAAUUCAUAGCUGCGCCCCUUAGUAUGUUAGAAUUUUCGUUAUAUUUAUAAAAAUCAGUUUUUCAUCCUGUGUAGCUAUCAGAGUGUCUCGACAAUCCUAUCAAUACUCGUCUUUAUGGAAUCACUUUUUUCUGUUUUUGUUGUUGUUGUUUUUUUAUUGUAAAAUCAAAUGAAAAGCCUACCCUUAGCCUGCUUACAUGAUGGGAAAUAUCUACGAAAUCAGAGCCAUCGGUUUAGUGAAAAAAUCAGAUUAACUAUUACUUAAUUUUAUUUAAGUAGUAUUUGCGCAUGAAAUAACAUAGAUGCUUCAUUGUUUGACCUUCCAGCUGUUGUUAGCCUGGUACUAGUUCUUCAUUUUGUGGAUAUCUUUAACUUAUUCUUUUAAAUAGUUUUCCUCAUGAAAUAAUCAAUUUACAAGGCUAGUAGUCAGCUUCAAUCCAUAAUUAUAUUAUAUUUGGCAAUCAGGGAAUUCAUCCAUCAAUUAGAGGAGAAGUUUGGGAAUUUCUACUAGGUUGUUAUGAUCCUAAGAGCACAUUUGACGAAAGAGAGCAGAUUCGGCAAAGUCGAAGGUAUAUCUUGUUUCCUGCCUUACUUGGGUUACUUGAAAUUUAUUUAUUCACUUGCCUUUUUUCUUUCUCUUUAUCUAAUGAAGUUUCCUAGUGGUAGUACACUUGCAAAUGAUGAUAACAGUCUAAGGAGAAAUUUAUUUCUGGUUCAUGUAUCUUUUAGUACUGCAGUCCAAUAUGUUUUGUAAUUCAAAGAUGAUCUUUUGGGAAAUGAAUGGUCAAUACCAUGAGUUGAGUUUUAUAACUUGCAAUGUACCCGAGUAAAUAAAUUUAGUUGACAGCAAUGUUGAAACUUGCUAGCAAAAGACUAAGGGUUUCCUCUUCAUACGAUAGUGAUCCAGACUCCAGCAUCUCUAUUUUGUGUGGGCUGUGUAAAUUCCCAAACUUACAGGCUCUACAUAAUGUUAUCUUGUCAGAUUCCAACAUGUUAUGCUUCACCUGUCCCGUUAUUCGGUUUUAUUUAUGAAGUAUCAUGUUUUGCCAUUUUCAGAGUGCAAUAUGCUAGGUGGAAGGAAGAUUGCUGCCAAAUGUUUCCUGUUGUUGGGAGUGGUAGGUUUAUCACUGCCCCCGUAAUCACUGAAAAUGGUCAACCCAUUCAGGAUCCCAUAGUACUUUCACAAAUAAAUCCAGACAAGGGUUCUCAGGAUAAUGGUUCAAGCACAAACCGUAAUAAUGCUAUGGAACCAGUAAUGGACAAAAAAGUAAUCCAGUGGAUGCUUACUCUACACCAAAUAGGUUUGUGAUAUAUUUAUGUGUUCAUAUUUUAAUAUGCAUCCUAUGGUUAUUUUGGAGGAAUAUGUUUUUCUUAUGGUCCGGCAUUUUUUCUUUUUGUUGUUGGAUGUACAACUCAGACUUUUUUAUUGUUCAAUUCUCUGUUUUCGUCACGUCUUUACAUAACCUACCUGCAAGAUGUGAAAAGUACUGAACAUGAUGGAUUGCAGAAUUUUUCAUGUUUUAUCUUGAUAGGGUAGAUAACUUUUCUGUUUGUCUUUAUUUGUAUGCCAGGUCUUGACGUGAUUCGUACUGACAGGACACUAGUAUUUUAUGAGAAGCAAGAGAACUUAUCAAAACUUUGGGAUAUUCUAGCUGUUUAUGCCUGGAUAGAUACAGAUGUUGGCUAUUGUCAAGGUUGGUAACAUAAGAGUGAUCAUUUUAGUACUGAUUGCAUCCCUUCCCUACACUUUGGGAAGGGACAAUAUUUUCAUAUUUGAUUUUUUCAAACGAAAAGAAAAUUAUGUUUCUAAACUCCACAAUUCAUGACGUGAUGAUCAGGAAUGAGUGAUCUUUGCUCCCCCAUGAUUAUCCUUCUAGAUGAUGAAGCAGAUGCAUUUUGGUGCUUUGAACGAUUGAUGCGCAGACUGGUAAAACUUUGAGCUAAAUCUUCGACUUUGUUUUUCAUUCUGGUGUUGCAUCAAAUCAAUGCCUAUCAUGUGUGUCUAAAAACUAGGGUUGCUAAGCUCUUCUUUCCAGAAAUUAACAGAGGAGAUGUGCAAUCUUAAAUCCAUGUAUUAAUGAGAUUCUUUAGAAGUUUUUGUUGAUAUCCUUCUGUUUUUGAAAAAUUGCUACAAUAUUUUUUUUUUCAUUUGAAGUUACAUGCUGUUUCUUUAAAGCUACAAAGUUAUUUGGUGACGGUUAAUUUGGAUUCCAGUUUCUUAUGACUUGUUCUUAUUUGAAAUUUAAAGCGAGGAAAUUUCAGAUGUACCGAUAGCUCUGUUGGGGUGGAGGUGCAACUAAGUAAUCUGGCUUCAAUUACUCAAGUCAUUGAUCCAAAACUUCAUGAGCACUUAGGUAUUGUCUUUUUAAUUUGUUGUUUACAAUUUAUGUCCAUUUACUUGUCAAACAUAGAGAAAAUAUAUGUUUCUUUAUCAAAAAAUUUGGAGACAUCAUAUGCGAUUUUCAUCAUAUUUAAUUAUUCAUAAUCUUCUUCUCAGAAAUGAUCAUGAAAAUACAUGUUCGCCAACCGUUUGGAAGAUAUUCGAUACAUUUAUUUAAGGAAAAAAAAUGUACCGUUUAUUAGGAUUUAAAUAUCAAAUUGGCUAUGUUUGUGUCAUGUUUCUCUUACAUCGCUCAACAUAUUGCUCAAAAAUGAGGGAGAUAGUAACAGAUAUGCUUAAUUCGGAGUGCAGAGACACUAGGUGGAGGUGACUAUUUAUUUGCUUUCCGGAUGCUUAUGGUUUUGUUCCGUCGAGAAUUCUCUUUUUGUGAUUCUUUAUACCUUUGGGAGGUGAGAAUAAGUUACUGUUAGUAACUUUCUGAUAUUUUUCUGUUCUCCCUUUUGGAUUUUUUUUAUUAUAUCUAAUUAUUGCAUGUAUAAAUACUUUUACAGAAUCCUUGAAAUUAUUUCUGGGAACCCACUUCAUUCUUUCCUAAGUAAUCAAAAUUUUCUCCAUAAUUCCACUUAUAUAUAGUUCCUUGAAUUUUAAUACAUGCAGAAAUUUUUGUAUUAGACCUUAUUUCUUCCGACUAAAAGUUGGCAAGCUAAUACUUACUUGACAAGUACUUUUUGAACAUAGGUUUUAAGAACUAUUGCACGCAUUUGAUAUUAAAGACCAAUACCCCAGAGCAUUUGUUUGUGUGAUUGGGAUAUAUGUGUUCCUGAUUGAAUAGUAUCUAUGCACUUCUGCUCUAUAAUGAAGAAAGGGCGUCGUGCGCAGUAAAUUUCUGUAGCUAUAUAGAUAUUGCUUUUUCUUUUUUCGUUUUUUGCCCAAAUAUAUCCUUGUUAUUUGUGUGUAAGUAUAUAUGGUUAUGUAUAUUUUUAUAAUAACUAUUGCACAUUUCUUAUGGUGCAUCCCGAACUUAAAAGAACUUAUUUAUAUUGGUAAGAAUUGAUCUCAUUUAAACUUUGACAGAUGAUGUGGGCCCUUGAAUACGACCCUGACUUGUUCAAUGUGUACAAAGAAUCUGAUCCUGAUACUGAGAAGGCUGAGGGGCCUAAAGGGAAACCAAAGUCAACACGUCAGUGUGGGAAGUAUGAGAGGGAAAACAUGAAAAGUGGAGCAAAGAAUUCAGAAGCACCGCUCCCAAUUUCAGUUUUCCUUGUUGCCAGUGUCCUGAAAGAUAAGAGCUCAAAGCUACUUACAGAAGCUCGGGGUCUCGAUGAUGUUGUUAAGGUUAGCAUUAUCAGUUGACAAUUUGCAAUUCUUAGAACCGAUUGACUUUCGGAUUAUAUUGAGAAUGAUAUUACAUGACUUAAGCAGAAAACAUGUCCAUGUGGGGACAGCCUAGUGAUAAAUUCAUCUAAAACAAUAAACAAGAAUUACUCAUAGUAAGAAUCCGCUGGCCUUGGCCAAACUAGGGUCCAGGAUGUUGCGUGGAUUUGGGAUAUAUAGUAAUUUACUCUGAAAUGUGAAAUGAAGUAUGAAAAAAAUAGGAAUAGGAGACUGGAGCGGCGACAUUUAUCAGCCAACCCUAUUAAAUCUUUCCUUGAAAAAGUGGAUUCAGCUAUGGUAGUCAAACAUGGUUCGGAGAAGAAUAUGUUGCUAUCGUUUUGUUCUUUCACAAAUGAUUACAUAUAAAUUCUAAAAGCCAAAUGAAACUGUUCCAAUGUUAUUAUCUUGGGUUUCCAAUUUUUUCUGUGUAGUUUUACAGCUUACAUUAGGUUGCAAUCAAGAUCAAAACCCUAAAAAAUGAUCACAUCUUCAUGUUGUUUUGUAAGGGAUUGGACCAUGAAUUUGACAUGGUUUUACCUCAACGGUUCUUAAAAAUUUCAAAUGCGUUGUCUAAUCCCUAAAAGAAAACAUUAAAAGUGAUCAUUUUAAGGAUUUUUGGCUUGAUUGCAACCUAAUGUUAACUACGAGGAUGUAGUUAGGAGUUUUUCAGGACGAAAUUGGAAGCCCUAGCAAACUGCAUGGACUAAAAUUGUCUUUAGGCCAUUUCUAACGCCCUAAGGGAGAAGUUCAAAAUAAUUCUCUAGAGUCGUUAGGGACUGGUGAAGAAUCUUUGAUCCGUUUGAUAAACAAAUACUCGAGCUAUCAAUUUUUCAUUUAAAUGAGUUGGAUCUUAAUUUUUGUACAACUUUUACCCGUUUACCUCACUCAUUCUCUCUGCCAGAUAUUGAAUGACAUAACUGGAAAUUUAGAUGCCAAAAAAGCUUGCACUGGGGCAUUGAAACUCCACAAGAAAUAUCUGAAAAAGGUACUUCAAUUUAUUUUUUAGCAGUGUAGAAUGUUGCUAUUCAAUUUUCAUGUCUAUAUUUGUGCAUUUCUUGUGCGUGUGCGUGCGCUCAUUUCAAAUGUUCUUAUAUUAAUCACUCAAAGUUGCAACAUCAUUCGUUGAUUUGUUACUGCAGGCGCCCAAGAAGACAUAGCAUCACUUUACACACGAUUUUUUAGCCACCCGAAAAAAGUAAGACGAUGUUGCUUACAUUGUUUUUUACCUGAUUUGGCAAGAGAUUAUAAUUUACUUGCACAUGAUCUUGGCUUAGAGUUGAGAGAGCUGCACAGUUGGUCCACUGUGCAAAAUAUUCCCAAUAGAAAUUGUUGUUUGUGAGAUUAGUCCAAAUUAAUUGUACAUUACAAACAUUCUUUAUAGGCCUAUAUUUUGUACAACCAUAACCGAACCGAGGCCUAUAUUUUGUAUAACGAUACGUUGUUCGUAAUGAUAUUAUGAGGGCUGGAAAAUGCUGAAGCUUAUGCAGUGCUCCAACCCUAAGACAUGAAAUUAACUUGCAGUUUUCUUUCUGAAAAUGUCUUCUUGUAUUUCCUUCCUCUCAUAACCAUAUGCAGUUAGUGCAGGCACUUAAUUUUUUUCAUUCAGUAAUUAUAUGGGAACUUUAACGAAAAGCACCCGGUAUUGUUCACUUUAACGAAAAACCAUAUUUUUACACUAAAAAGUCAAUCCUGGUACUAUUCACUUUACCCUUUAUUUUGUCCUUAUCAUUAAAACUCAAAGUUUUCAAGCUUUUUUUAUUAGUUUUCCUUAAUUAUAUUGGGAAAAGAUGUGGGUAGUUCUCCUAGUGUGUCUGUGUUUAGAAAGAAGUGAAAAUGCAAUAGGUAUAACCUACACAAAAGUUCAUUGCAACAUAAACACAACAAAAGAAUUAGAAAUGAAAAGAUUGGCCACAAGUUGGCAAAUUUAGGGCUCGUUUAUAGGAAAUAAUUACGUUUGUAAGCGCUUUUGUUCGAAAUACUUUUAUUAUAAAUAUGUAGAAGUUUUCUUUAUGUCGAAAAUCCAAGUGCUUUCUGGAAGCAUGUCUACAAUCUAGAAAAGCACGUUUAAAUUUUUCGGCCAAAGAUAGUUGAAAUCAUUUUUUAUUGUCAUAACGUAUUCUAGUCUUUUCAGAAGCAAUCCCAAUACAUGCCUUUUCAAGAGUGCAAGAUAUGACUUUUAUUUUUUAAUUUUUUAUAAUAAGUGAGCAUUUAACAAGUUAAAUAAUAGGCCAGGCACUUAUUCAAACUGAGUCUUGUCACGUAUCUUCUAUCGUUGUAUAAAGAGUCAUUCAUUACAUAACCAUGUAAUAUUAUUUUAUUAUUCCCAAAUUAUAUAAAGAUCAUUUCUAAAAACCUUUUUAACUUGGAAAUUGUUUAGCCAUGAUGAAUGAAUUGAUGAUUCGUUGUAUAAAGAGUCAUUCAUUACAUAAUCACGUUAUAUAUAAAUGACCAAACGGUCUCCAAGCUUAAUGAAUUUUGUAGAUAUAAGAUUUAAAUGAUAAAGAAAAUGAAAAUUUUAAAUUAUAAUGUUUGUACUCUAAAAUGUUGUCAUGUCGUCAUAUAAGAGAAAUGGUUUCUUACAUGGGAAAUAGAUCUUUUUCACCAAGACCACCGGAUCAAGUGAUCUGGAUCCUUAAAAUUUAAUCCAACGGCUAAAGUUAUUAUAACUUUUCAAGGAAACCUUUGUUUUUAGCCGUUGGAUUAAAUUUCAAAGAUAACGAUCACUUAAUCCAAUGAUCUUGGUGAAAGAGAUCAGGAGAGAAUCUCUUUCCUCUUGCAUGAAUGAUCCACACUGACUGAACCUACUCUAGUGUAGGCAAUAUGAACCAUGCUGACUGACUAAACCUACUUUCAAAAGUCAGGAUAGUUUGCGUCGGUAAAGGUUGUGCUCUUUCUUUUUCAUUUCUUAUCCUCACUCAUCAUCCUUCUUCAUCCCUCAUUUCCCGAAUAUACGUUUUUCAUUUUACAAGCAUAAAAAAUAAAAAUAAAGGAACGUAAUAGUUAUCAAACAGACUCUUAGAUUGUUGUAUAUUGAGAGGAGGCAUGGAUAUAAAUGUCAGUUCUGGUAUAGUCCCGUAUUAACUUAUCAUAAACAAGGAAAGAAUGACCACUGGAGAAUUUGACGUUAGCUUAAAUGUGUAGUAUAGUCUUCACUAGUACUGCGGUUUAGUGUAAAGUUUUAUGUACAACUCCAAGGAAUGACAAGUUCGAUAUUUAUUUAUGGUUGACCCGUUAUUUGACUAGCCCACAUCUCUUCCUCCAAUAUAGUUGUAUUAAAAAAGAAAGUAAAAAAAUGGUAUAUAGUUAUUUCUAGUUAUACACAACAUUCAAUAAGGAAUUCUAGGAGGAGCUCCUCACCCCAGGUAACAACAUCAUAAUAGUUUAGAGAAUGUUUUGCUUAUGUAUGGGCCACAUUAUUACAACUUCUAGGAAAUUAUAAAUUGAAAUCUUACGAAACAGAUCCAUGCACCCCUUAAUUAACUUCCUCAAAGAGGUUACCAUCAGAGGCAGGAUCUUUCUGCUCUCACAGAUAGAGCAUCUGGUUAGGAAAAACCAGCAUCUAAGGACAGUUUCAAUUCGAAGUAAAAUGCUCGAAAUCUGCAUGUUUCGGGGAAGUGGUAUUGCAGAGGGAAACUUGCCGCCACCAAUAUCGAGUUUGAAAAUGCCACGAUGAGGGGGAGACCAACCCGAAAGAACCCCUCAAACAAGCUGCCAUCUUAAUUUCUCUACCAGGACAUUAACAAGUAUUUUCAUGAACUAAUUAGAUUAGUGCCAAAUCCUUAAAAGUGGAUUUGUACUAUACUAAUUAAUGACCAUAGUCCUAUGAUACAAAUUUAGGUUCAUCAUCCUUUCCACAGACCAGCUAAUAGAGAUGAUCAUUUAGCGAUUGAAUUAUUAUUAUGAUUAUUUCAGUGUUCAUUGGAAAUUAACACACAUGUUCAUCUAUAUGUGUGCGUAUGUAUCAAUCUGGCUUGUCUUAAAAAUCGAUGUUUGUAUUGUAAUAUGUUAUCUUGAAUUUUCUAGUUACCCUGUUCCAACAUUUGGAACUGCUACAAACAUUAGAGACUGCAUCGAUCCUAGAUACACACAAAAAAAUGCUAGGAAAACAAAAAGACCACGCGAAUCCAUCCUCAUGAUUUGUAUAUAAUAGCUACGCACAUAAAAUCUUAUUCAAAUUAUCAUAACGUUUGUUUUGUGACUCGUUACAAUCUCUUCAUCAUCUGCUUUAUGUGUCUCGAGUUCGAGUAUGCAUGGACGGGCCUCGAAAUCAUGGUAGCAUCGUCACUCAUACAUAGUUCUUUAUCAGCCUUGAGUGCAUAAACACCGGUCUUCUUGCAGCUGACGUCAGACAACACCCAUCACAUGAGGAUGACAAAACAAAUAAAUCCGUCAUUAAUCAUGAAUUCUCAGAAAUAUUAAAACUAAUUAAUUAAUUUUCUAGCUAGUGAAAGCUAGAUAUAUCAAUAAUCUUUAACUAGCUACUGAAACUAACUCAAAAAUACUAUCUUUUGUAACUGGUGGUCAUCACUGUUUGGUGUAGCGUCACUCAGUCUUUACUUUAUUUGAAAAGCGACAUAGGGUUCAAAUCUACGUAGGGCCUAAAUAGAAAAACAAAAGCUAGCCCUAAUUGACGUUAUAAUUAACAUUUCAUUUUGUUUAUAUUUCCACUUUGAACCUCAUUUAUUCAUAUAAUCCAAUGACAAUUGCGAUUGAUGAACAUAAUUAAUUAGAUAUUUAUAUACAAUUAACUACUAAUUACCUGCAGAUAGAACUAGCCUUGCUGAUGGUUAGUGGAAGCGAUUUGUCAUGAAAAGGAAAGACAUGAUGGCUAAACAUAGGACCAAAAGAGCAUUAGACUUGAGAUGCCCUGCAUUGUUCUUGGGGAACACUUUAGGAAGAGCACACUCUUCUCCAUUGAACAACACUCUCGUUGGGAACCCUUGACCCGCUUUGAUAUCGAUAUUAUGAUAGUGCUUCUUCUUGAACGAAAUCACCGAUUGCUGCUUCCCGGGGAUCAUCGGAUUCUUUUUCGGAUCCGUCCCGUUUUUUAUCGCCACCAAGUAGUUCAAACCCUUGAGCCCUGUGAACAAGAUUGUGUUGUUGACUUCCUUUUCCAUCCUCGUACCGUUGAAGGAGUAGACGUUUUCGUAGUCCUGGUAGGCCUUGUUCAUCUUCACCGCGGUGUACCAAUCUUGAAACUGGUCGGUUCCCCAGUUGAAGAGAGUGAGCCUGGCGGUCCACCCGUUGCUGUAAUCAGAGUCGAUGUGCCAGUUCAAGCUGACACCGCAGUUGUCAGGGCACGGAAGCUUUUUAGGCACGUCGUAGUGCUUGAUUUUGGCCCAUGCUUUUGCCUUCUCGGUUCUGUUUGCGAAUGGCACGAGGAGAGCUUCGGCAGGCAAAAGCAUGGCGGAAGCCUUAGGGUUACAUUUGUUCGUCUCAGAUGUUUUGCACCCGCACGCGCACGUGCUGCAUGGAAUCACAGAGGUGCUGUAAUAAGCCGAAAACGAGACGCAGCAUCUGGGGACCGGGGUUUUGGUGAUGUUGCACACCACUUGCCAGCUGGCAAUGGCGUCUGACGUGGCCUGGAGCCCACUUGGGUCGGGGAACUGAGUAGGGUCAACCCUAAUAGGGGGCCCGCAUCUGUAAGUAGGGUUCAGAACGCCACUGAUUUUCCACUGCUGAGGUGGAGUUAUGGCAGUUCUGUUGUCGUCGGGUGGGAUCUUAAACACUUGCAGCUGGAAAAUGGACUGGGACUGUGCAUUGUCCAUGAGGCUCGGCAAGAUGGUCCCGUUGCGGCAGCAGCUGGGCAGUUUGCCGACCUUGGGAUCAUCCUUUCGCUCGGCUGGGAGGUCGGUGAUGACGGGCUUCUUUUCACAGUUCAUGACCUGAGAGAAGUCCAAGUCCUUGUAGAAUUUUCCGGCUUGGCCGUAGAGGCAUGCACUUGUGUCCUUCUUGUGAGUGUAGGCUCCUCUCAUGGUGUUGAUGAACUCUCCCCUCAUCCAUUCCCAGGUUAAGUUCCAGUGGUCGAGGCGGCCGAGCGGGUGGACGUUGUCGAUGGUGACCUGAGCCAGGUAGUUCAUUGUGUAGGUUUGCAUUACAUCGUAUGUGAUUGAGAGAUCCCCGUUCUGACGUGGCAUGAAUUUGGUUUUCUCGACUUUCUUCGCCUUGAAUUUUGGGUCCUUUUUACAGCACACAGACAUUGCAGUCUUCCCUGCAUGAGGAAAACAAAAAGGAUAUGCGUCAAUGCAUGCAUUUGAACCCUUUCAAGGUUCGUAUAUUAGUAUGUUCUUUUUGCCAAAAUAUUUGAUUUGUUAUCUUGUCAGAUAGUGAAUUGGAAUAGUGUUAAUUCGACAUAUGAUAUUGACAUUAUUAUUCACAGGUAAAGCUCACAUGUAUUAGAGAGAGUGUUGAUGUCAGUUUUAUAUAUAUAGUUAGAAAGUUGACCGUAUACAAUAUGACAAAGAAAAUAGUAACUAACACAUAUUUACAUAAUACAAGUAUGAAGAGAUUUAUGGAAUUGAGAUCACGGUUUGACAACAGAGUCAUUGGAAGAAUUAGGAACUGAAUUGAUACUCUUUUCAAGUUUUAUAUGUCUACUUAAUAGCAUUAAUAUAUCUUGGACUAAAAACCAUAUACAUUUCUUGAUGUUCAAUCUAAUCGAUCGUCCUAAAAGAUGUAAAGCCCAGAAAUAAGAACACCAAUUUGAUCGAAAUCAAAAUAUUCAAUCUGAAUCUCAUAAAAUCUUAUGUUCUGCAAACAUAUUUCUCAAAACAUCACAUGUAAUGUAAUGCAUGUUAAACAUUAUCAUUAAUAACACAAACAACCUUAUAAUUAAUUAACUAAUUACCUUUAAAUUUAGCAGCAGGGCACUUGAAGCCAUCAUUGACAAUGGAGAUGGUCUUGGGCAUCGGAGUAGACUUCUCUCCCAUCCCAAACUGCGUCCCUUUGAACGCAAUCUUAGCCUGAAUCUGGGUAUAAUCUCCGGCGGUAUCAAUCAUAGUUUUCAAAUCUGUCAUUGGAUACCCGGCAAAGUAUGCCCCUUUGGUUCCAACAUCGACGGGCAAAUCACCACCGUCAACCAUCUGAGCUCCUUCCGCGGCCACCAAGAUCUCCCGAUGCUGAAACCCUAUGUACAUCUUCCACGCCUUGAGCUCGGUCGACCCGGCGUUCAAGAUCGUCGCCUCCGACUUGAACGCCCAAGCCUGUGCCGACACAUUUUUCGUGUGCGGCAACUCCUUCUCCCUGGAGGUAAACGUGUACGACAAGAAAAUGCCAUCACAGUCUUCUUGCUCGGGAGGAGGAGCUGCCACAACAGCAUCUUCGUCUUGUCCGUAACAAAUCUCAACCCUAAAACAUGAAAACACCAAAAACACCACGAGCAUUGCUUGAAGAAAGGACGCGCGGGACGUCCAGGGUAUUUUCAUGCCCAUAUUACUUGUUUCCAUCAUUGCUUUUUACAAUAAUGUGGAGCGAGCUUUGAGGUUUCAAAUCUUUUCUUUUUGUUUUUGUCUAUUUUUCGAGGUUGAGGGUUGUUUCGUGUGUCGCUUGGGAGAGAGACAGAGAGAAAGAGAGAGAGAGAGAUCUAUUGAACGGUAGGCGGCCGCGCGAGGACGCGGCGAGUGAGAGAUGCUAUGAGGCCCUGGGAGGUCUGUGUAAACCCCAGGGUAGAGAGAGAUGGCUAGGUAAAAGAAGAGGAGCGACAUUAAAAGACUGGGUCAAGCUCUAUUUUCUUCCGCUAGUUUUAGCGGCAGGUUCGGAACGUUGUCCAUGCAACCGAUACUGUUUGAUUUCUGGUAGACAUUGUACGGAAAUAUAUCUGAUACACACGCUGUAAAUAGAUUUCGGUAUCGAAAACUAUGCCGUUUCUGAGUUUUUCUUUUCUCUUCUUGUUUUCGGACCGAAACCACCGAAACGGUUGCUGUGAUAACCUUCUAAUUAACUGUUUUGAGCUGGCAAAAACUGCAUGUCACAUAACUUGCAUUGGACUAGUUUGCUCACCUCAGAUUGCCGACAUGGCACUUCGAACCAAUCAUUUUUUUUAUUUUUAGUAAUCACAAAGUUCAAGUACUAAAAUAAAUAUAAAUUGGCAUGAAAAUGUGAAAGAGUCGAAUCUGUGUUGGAUAUCACUAUGCGAUGUGCUGCACAAAAGGGAUUGGCAUGAAAAAUCAGUAGCUAUGGGGAUCCUAGCUAGGUUUAUUUUGUUCUAGAUUUUUAGCCAAAAUGUUUUCUGAGAUUAAGUGGUUCUUAAUUUUGUCUACUCUACAUCAUUUUGGUCAUUCAAUGAAAAAUACGUUCAAUAUUCUUGUUAAGUUGAGAUGUUGGUUUGACAAAAAUACUCUUUGGAAAGGUAAACACGUAGUUGUUUACGUGACAAUUUAACAAAGAUAUUGACAACUUUUAUCACAAAAUGACCAAAUUGAUUUACGAUGGACAAACUCAAAUACUGCUUUUAUCAAUUAUCAUUGUCAAAGACCAAAGUAAGGAGAUCCAAUCUCAGAGACAAUUUUUGCUAAAAAGUCGGUUCUAUCUUCUUUCUUACUUUUUCAGUAUUUUAAUUACCCUUUAUUAAUUCUAUAAUGGAUAUAAUUGCGUGAAUGACUUGUAGCUCAAGUAGUUUAAAGUGCUCACUUUCAAUAAAGAGUACCCCUAUAUUUUCAUAUAAUUUUAAUUGAAUUGCUUUCUUCCACGCCUAUCCGCAGCACAGUCAUUAUUUGUUCAAGAAGUUAGCUCCCCGCUAAUACUUGGGAACUAGGGUAUCCAGUUAGUACAAUAAACAAGGCAACACAGCUAUAACCGAAGAUAAUAUCAAAACGCUAAUUAAGAAACCUACCCCUACGAUCUCUUAUGGUUACAUAUCCUGUUAAUUCAGUGUGCACGAUUUUCAUUACUUUAACCAAAUCAAGCGACAGUUAUCUCCGUCCCGCCGCUGAUUUCUUCAACGAACUGCGCUUUUGGCUCCAAGUCUAUGAACUGGUUGGACUUGCUAGCAAGAUGCGAAAUGCUUACCCUUCCCUGACGCUUAAUGUAGUCUGCUACAGCUUGCAUCUCCUCUUGGGAGAUGUAUAUGUAUUUCCCUCUGUCAUCCAUGACGCCAGAAAGUCGCCCUAACACAGACAAAUACAACAUUUUCAUUCUCAACGAAAAGGUAUUUUACCUUCUGAAGCAAAGGAAUGAAUUAUUCAUUAGGUACCACAAGUCACUGAGGAAAUAGCUCUGCACAUACCCAUACUCUCGAGAUUGGUAAUUCGAUAGAUGCAUUCCUGCAUGAACCAUCAGUUGCAUUGAAAAAUUAGUAAGCCAAAUCUGGCAAAUUAAGUUGACUAAUCACUUUCAGAAAAUAUACUUCCAUAUGCCUUACUAAAUUUCAAAUUAAAACUUCAUCUAUUAAUGCACUUUGAGGCACGAAGAAGACAUGAAAAUUGCUGAUUUAUGUGUUACUUCAGGAUAAAUAUAAGUUACCUGAGUCCUUAACUUAGAUUCAGCAGCAAGAUCUUCCAGAGGAAUGCAUUUAUGUUUCUGCAAUGUCAAAAUUAACAGUAGUAUUAAUAACAAAAUCACAACUCAACUUGAAAGCCUCAUGUCUCGAAUAGAAACAAAACGACACAAACAGUUAAAAGAUUAAUAAACUCUAAACUGGAUUGGAUAAGUUAGAAACUACAACCCAACCUUAAACCCCCAAAACUUAGAAGCUCCAUUUCAUCCCUAGUUUUGUGCAACCCGAUGGCGAUGGAGAUAUUAGGGGGCUAGAGUAUGGAACAAUAUCUUUGAAUGAAUUAACUGAACUCUACCUUUAUGUAUUCCACAAAAUCAGAAAGCAAAUCCUGACAUCCAUCCUGCACUUCAUUCUCGGUCAUACCUUCAGCAUCUAUUGAAAACUCGCCUUUCCACUUCUCAAACUCUAAAGCAGCAGCUUCCUCCUCCCUAGCCUUUUGAGCUUUGGCUUCUUCCUCCUACAAAACCGUGGCCAAAUCUUUGGGCAGUAACUUAACAACACAAUAAUACACAUCCUCAUUUUCCAAAACAGAAACAAAAGAGAGACGUCAACGCACCAGCUGACGCUCCUGUGCUUCACGCUCCUCAUCUUUCCUCCUCCGCAUUUCAGCAUAGCGGUCUUGUUUUGUUACCCUUGAUUCACGUGCAGCUUGUUCAGCCUUCAAAUAAAGAACGGACUCAAGUAAAUAAUUACUUGUGCUUCGAUUGAAGGGAAAAGGGAAGAAAAUAAUAUAAAAGCAGUACAAGUAAACCAUAAUCAAGGAUCCUCCGAGAGCAUAAGCAUAAACGCAAUUGAAGGUUUCAGUUACUUCCACCAUUUCGGUAAUUUAAAUCGAUUGAAUGAUGUAGUAAUCAAACUUCUAACAUGUCCUACACCUCAGUGACUACAUAGAAGUGGUUUCUGUCUUUAUUACUCAAUGUAGAUAGUUGGAUAAUUAGAAACUCGCUAAAAUUUAAGGCCUGUUGGGUAUUCAGGACAGGACAGGACACAUUAACUAGAAAUUUUAAUCAGGACCGGAGAGGGGGAGAGAGAGUAUGUGCAAUCCUUCAAAUCAGGAAGUAAAAGAAAGAAAGAAUACUUGUCGUUGUGCUUCCCGCUCUUGGCGCUUCUUUUCCCUCUUCUUGGAUGCUUUAGCAUCAUACUCGCCCUCAACAUCUUCCCCAUCACUUCCCUCAACGGAUUCUGUAUUUAAAAAUACAUACUAUGAGUUCAUUUGACAGAAUAACACAUUUUUCAACUUAUUUAAUAUCAUUAGCACUUAAAGCUAGCUAGCUAGUGCAAAAGCUCAUAUACAAAAUGUGCAGCUAUACAAGUCCAAAUUUGCACUUCAUACGCCGCGUACAUUUUCCAUACAGAAUACCUAAUACAUCCUUUACUUCCUCAAUUUUUGUACCCUCCUCAUGAAUCCAUAAACCUUAUGACUCCUCUCUGGAAAUAAUCAUCGGUCUACCCCAACAGAUCAAACCAUGUAAACCAUCAUCACCCCAAAUCCUAAUUUGAUCAAACCUUUAUCUCUCACAGAUACGGUUGCUUAUAUUUUCGUUCCAGAUUAUCUCGCCACUGCUUACCAAUUUAUUCAAUCCCGCCGCUGAGAUGCUCAGUUGAUGAUAUCUAUUUCAAUCACAAUUCAAUCAAUUACAAUCGCUUCUCGAAUCAAAGAGAAACGAACAUCACAAAACAGCAGAGUCACAAUUACUCAUGAACUUAAUCCAAUCUCUUACUAAUAUAAAAUCAAAUUUAGUCACUUCAAAGUAAAACACAAACCUUCUACACCUGGUGCAGCAGCAGCUGAUGUGCUUGCUCCAGAAGCCGGCCUCCUACGGAUCCAGCGACCGCCAGGCGCACGCACCACCGCCUCCCUCUGAGCAACCUAGAUCAAUAUGAACAAUCCAGAAAAAAUCUAUAUAACUAAAAACAAUUACGCUGCCGCCGAAUUAGGGCUCAAAGAAUCAAACCUGAGGUUCUUCUUCGUGUUCAUGCGAAGAUCGAGAAUCUUGACGGCGUUUCCAUAGAAAUAGUGGAAUUAAUCCCAAAACAAGAAGCAUAGAAAGAAAAAUUGCCAACAUUUCCUCCAUAUUUUCUCAAUCUCAGGCCCCGUUGAUGUUCCUUUUCUUUCUCUCAAUUCUAUUUUCUUAGGAAUUCUCGGAAACCAAACAAAGAGUUAGGGUAAAGCGAAUACCUUGAGAGCGGUUAAGCUUCGUACAAUCAAUGGAGCCUGGAACGGUUUGAAUAGUGAUUAUAGGACCUAAAUGUAAUUAGCAUGAAUUGGGAAUCAUUAAACUUACAUGGAUAAAAAAAAUUAAGAUUAUUACCUUAUAUUUGGAUGAAGAAAUUUAAGAUAUUAAUAAAUUUUAAAAUAAGGUAAAUUGAAAUAACGGAGUUUUAUUUUCUAAAAUUUGUGAAUUUUCUUAUUUGGUUAAUCUAAAAGAAUAAUGGAAUUGAAUACAAAAUUUAAUAUUUUUAAACUCUCAAUAGUAGAAAUUUAGAAAUACACCUAUUUAAUUUACAUGGAAUUUAAACUUGGGAAAAUUAUAAAUUUCUAUUUAUGAAUUUAAACAAGGGAAUUGGUGCAUGUCAAUUUAUAAAUUCUGACUUUUAUCUAAAUCCCAAAUUUAUUUUCCUCGUCUUAACAUAGUGUUAGAGAUUAGAUUUCUUCUGUUGUAUAAAUCAUUUUAUUUCUAUAGAGAUUUUUCUGUGUUCGAAAUAAAGACGUGUCAUUAUAAUACAAGUAAUGAGAUGCUUGUAUUAAAAAUUAACAACUUAAACAAUAAAACAUCCCUCCACUUAUAUAAUGACAUAGAAUAUAUUGUUCGUGUUACGCGCACAACCGCACAAUGAAAGAUUCCCGUAUUUCUCUAUACAUAAAUAUUCACACAAUUAUCACUUUUUCAAAAUUUAAAUAUUUUAAAGUCAAAAUAUUUAUAAAAAUGAAUAUGAUUUUUAGUUUAAUUUUAUAUAAAUAUCCUUUAAUAAUAUGUGACUUGAAUUUCAAGGCAAAAGAAGGAAAAAAAUUGUUUCUGACAUAUGAAAAUUGUCUAGGUUAAAUUUUUAAAUUUUAACCCACACUAUUAGAUAUGAUCUAUCAUAAAAUAGCUGAAUGAAAACAAAGUUUCACGUUCAAUUUUGAAUUAAAGACGUUAAAAAUAAUGAAUCAACGACGUUAAAAAUAAUGAAUCAACGACGUUAAAAAUAAUGAAUCAACGUCGACUAUAACCCCUUACCUUCCAAGCUACCGAUGCGAAUUCGAAUCUCAAAACUAACGAGCUUGCAACCAUUAUAUCAAAUAUCCAUCUAUGUCCCCUAAUAUUCUAUUUAUACUCUUCGUUCAUCCACGAAAACUCGAUAAUUGCUUGGCACGCUGUCUGUCAUUAUCGUGCUUAGCAAAUAACACAUCUCGUGCGAAUUGAGAGCCUUUAGGAUCGCAACUACGUGCCUCUCUGCAACCGCGCAGCAGCACCCAUCAAUUCCCUCUCCCCUAUUUCCCACAAAUUGCCCACACCCCUCGAACCCACAACCUCGACUUACUCCCCUACCCCAAGACUUCUUCAGCGAAUACCCAAAAAAACCCAUAAAUUUUUUUUAAAACGGUAAUAACAGAGAGACUAAAUUUUUAAAUUAAAUUUGCAAAUACAUACCUAAGAAUCAAAUGAUGUGAUGCUACCAUUUCAUUUCCAACGAGUCCGAGCCAAACAUCCAACGCACACAGAGAAUCCAUCCAUCCACAUUAUUAUCAAAACUCACGUAUGUCCCAAAACACAUCAAAUAUCUACAACAGCCAUCACUUAGCCACCAUAAAAAAUCGCUCGCUCACUCAACCGCGCUAUUAUUUUCGGCUUGAAACUGGUUUUUCCCUUGUUUAUUAACAUAAAACGUCUGGAACUGGUUUUUCCCUUGUUUAUUAACAUAUAAGGUGACAAUUAAGCCUCGGCGAUCUCAGCGGAUUCUGCAGCAGCUAGGAUCAGCUCCGGCUGGAUGCCUCCGACGUAUGAUCCAUCCAAUGCGUUGGGGAGUCCCAGUGCCUUCAAUGCCAAGUGAGCUGCCUUUUGCCCUGAGAUCAUCAUGGCUCCGAAUGUAGGUCCCUGCAUCCCCAAUAAUGUUACAAAUUAUAUUAUUAGGACUACGUUGAUAUCGACGGAUACCAAACCCACAAUGUUUAUAUCAAGUGGGAAUCUUAUUAGGACCACAUAAAGAUCUAGUAAUGGUACUAUUCCAAACAUAAAAGAACAGGAAAAGAAUGGAAGAGCUUUUGGACCCACGUUCUUUCGAAAUCACUAUGCAUGGAUUGAGGCUUAAGUAAUUCUACGGUCCUAAGGUGUUUUUGUUUCGUAAUUAAACGCCGAGGGGAGAGGCCACUGUCUAUCUACGCUGUGCAUUUACAUGUCAAAAUUCGAAGCUUAAAACUAGGACGUUAUGCUUGAUAAAUCAAAUAUUCUAAUCCUUAAUGUUUUAUCUAAAUCGUCUAAGCCCACCACCGCGAUCACCAUUUUGACUAAAUGUGAUCGCGAUGGCUUGAAGCGGUUGGAUAAAAUCAGCCAAGCACAGUAAUGGCUAUACCAAAAAGUAAAACAGUAAAUAAAUCAAGAACAAAUGGAAUGAGUCAGAAAUGUACCAUUCUUGGGGAUCCAUCAAUCUCGGCAACUUCCAUGCCGGUGACGAUCAUUCCUGGCACAAUUUCCCUUGUGAGCUUCACGAUAGCAUCCUCAGCUGCGUUCAUGUCCAAGGCCUUCAUCCCGGGCACGCUCUCAAUCAUCCCAACGCUCCUCAGCCUCUUUACGCCGGUGGCUCCCAUGGGUCCGUCAUGACCACAUGAGCUCACCACAACCUUGGCCUCCAUGACGUUGGGGUCCAUGCACGACUGUGUGUCGUGGUUCAUUGAGACCAAGGCCCAGUUGGUGACCACCCCACCAACUCUGCCACCCUUAAUGAUCAAGUCCUCGGCGGCCACAGCGUUGAAGAGCUUCACGUUGGGCCGGGCAAGGAGCUUGCUCAUGAUGGUGGAGGUGAAUAGGGCGGCGUGCUUGAUGACAACGUAGUUGUCUUGCUCAUCGUAGUCAAUGCCGAGCUCGUUAAGGAAGAGAUGGGCGGGUUUGCGCACAACCUAUAUAUGUCAACAUAUAAAUUAAAUCUUAAGUACUACAAAAUAUAAGACAAAAUAUUUUCAAAAUUUUCAAGUUAGAACAUUGAAAUAUUUUCGAAAUUUAUGUUGCUUUCCAAAAUUGUACUUUUAAUUUUCAUAGCAUUCAUUUCUCACUAGAACAUUUAACCAAAUAUAAGGCCAACCCAUUUAACGGAAUAAGACUUGGUUGCAAUUGUUGUAAUGUUAACUAAAUAGCGGGAUUAUCUCGCUUCCAUAAAUUCACCAUAAUCAAGCAAUCUAAUUGUGAUUCAUUAGUGCAUAGAUGAAAUCUAUAUAUAUUGUAUAUUUGGAAUUAAUUAAUAAGGAAUUACUUUUCUACAAAAUAUACAAAAUUUGUUUGAUUUACGAAUGAAAAUACAACAAUAUCAAACUAUUUAAUUAAUUACAAAAAUGGAAAUAAAGAAAUAAAUUACAAAAAAUAAAUUAACGAAUAUUUAUGCAAAUAAAAACAGACAUGCAUAACGAUACAGGUCAAAUUAUCCAAACAAGAUGGGGCAUGCGCGACACGUGUCACAGUCAAACGUUUCAUUCAUUUUACCGACAAACAUGAAUUUCAAAUUAACAAACAAUUUCCCAGAAAAAAGGCCAAAAAUUAAGCACCCGGAAACCUUAAACGACCAAAAAUGAUAAUUAAACUACAACAAAUCAUUAAUUAAAAGUUUCAAUAACUUUCCAAAAAUAUUAAAAUUAAUCAUAAAUGACAGUAAUUACCAUGGCAGAGAAGAGCUGGCCACCGAGCCAUGCACCUCCACCGGGGCUGACGGACUGCUCGAUGAUGGCGACCUGAACGUCGGGGUUCUUGCUGAGUUCGUAGGCGCAGGAUAGCCCGGCGGAGCCAGCACCGACGACAACGACGUCGGUGUCGGCGUAGGUGAUCAUGUCAGUCAUGUAGCGCCUUGUCAUCUCCCGGGAGACGAUGGAUUCCUUGAUGGGGUCGAACUUGAAAGCGCUCAAGUCGUAGGAGGGGGUCAAGCCGUUGGCGGACAUGGAGACGGAGAGGCCGCCGUUGUUGGCGGGGGCCGCCUUGGCCAGCUGAAGGCGGACCAUGGGAGCGCCAUGGAAGGAGGAGUCGAGGAGGGAGGACUUCUGGAGCUUGGCGGUGAGGGAGGAGGAGGUGAGGGUGGAAGCCAUGGUUGCCAUUGAUUGAUGCGAGAGAAGGAGAGAGAGGGAGAGAGAGAGAAGAUGAUAAGAUGGGGUGAUUUGGGGGUUUAGCGUUUGCAAGUCAGAAGAUGGAAGUGAAGAGAGUGGUUAUUUAAGGAGGAGGGUGACGUAUAUGUAAAAUUGAAGAUGGACACGUGGGAAGAGGAUAGGAUAUGAAGGGUCUAGAACCUCUUGGGAGGUACAAGUGGCAAGCAUGAACCAGUCCACGGUGUGUGUUUGAGUGUGAGGAGAGUGAAUAGAGAGGGAAAUGUUAGAUGACAAAGUUUAUAAGGGAAUUGCUAAGGCUAUUAUCUUGAAUGUGAUUUUCUACGAAUUUUCUGUCAUUUUAUGUUUUUGAUACAAUUCUUAUGUUAAUGUUAUAAAAUUUUGUGCCAAGAAUAUGAGGUGAUAGAGAGUUCAUAGGAAGUCUUACUUUGAAACAGUCUCCUUAGUAUUUCUCAAUUUGUAAACCAAAUGAUUAGAUUGUUGAUGAUCAUUUUAUUACUCAAGUGUUGAUUAAUGUGUUUAAUUUCUACUGAAAAUAUGACUUUAGCUCUUGAAACUCAAGUUUCUUUACAUAAAACCCGACAUAGUCUUUUUAUCUAAAUAAAACCUAAUGACUACGCUCCACAUAAGCAAAGUCAUUAAUUCUAUUUGCCUUUACACAUUUUGCAUUUUUUUAGAUGCCUAAAACACCCCUAAUUAAAGUUUUAAUGUAUACAUUAAAUUCUAUGCAUAUUUGAAGGGAGGGGUUAAUGAAAAAAAAAUGCAUUAAUGUUUAAAAUCACUGCAUAUUAAUAUAUCAUAACAAAUUGUAUGUUAAUGCUUCUUGGAACAAAAAAAAAGCACUAAUGUUAUACUUUCCUUAAGAUUUUGUAAUUGUUUUUCAAAUUUGCCUAAAAUUUGACAGUUUUAAUUUGAUCUUGUCAUUAUCUUACCCAAAUUGUGACAUCCCACAUCGCCCAGGGGAGUAAUCCUUAAAUGUAUAUUCUCAUCCCUACUUAACACGAGGUCUUUUGGGAGCUCAUUGGCUUCGGGUUUCGUAGGAACUCCGAAGUUAAACACUCCCAGGAUGGGUGACCCACUAGGAAGUUGCUCGUGAGUUCCCAAAAACAAAACCGUGAGGGAAUGGUAAGCCCAAAGCGGACAAUAUCAUGCUACGGUGGUGGAACGGGCUUGGGAUGUGGUGGACCCGGGCCGGGAUGUGACAAAUGGUAUUAGAGCCAAUCCCUGGCCGGAAGUGUGAUGACGAGGACGUCGGGCCCCUAAGGGGGGUGGAUUGUGACAUCCCACAUCGCCCAUGAGAGUGAUCCUUAAAUGUAUAUUCUCAUCCCUACCUAGCACGAGGAAUUUUGGGAGCUCAUUGGCUUCUGGUUCCGUAGGAACUCCGAAGUUAAGCGAGAAGGAGGCCAGAGCACUCCCAGGAUGGGUGACCCACUGGGAAGUUGCUCGUGAGUUUCCAAAAACAAAACCGUGAGGGAAUGGUAAGCCCAAAACGGACAAUAUCGUGCUACGAUGGUGGAACGGGCCCGGGAUGUGGUGGACCCGGGCCAGGAUGUGACACAUAUGAAAAUCUGAAAGGGCACUAUAAAAUUUAUCCAGUAAUAAUACAUGCAAAAUAAUUUACUUAUAAAAUUAAAGAAAUGUUAUUUGAUUCAAAAGAAAUUUAUCUAUAUUUUAUAUAAUAAUAUAGGUGAAUCAUUGCACAAAUAUAUAUUAGGAAAAAAAUGUGCCCAAUAUAUAUAUAAUGCAUACAAAUAAUUCACCUACAAAUAAAGGAAAUUUGGUUAAAAAUAAUAUAUUUACUACUUUCAAUUUUCCUAUUUUUUUUUUUUUUACAAACAUAAUGUACCUACAAUAUAAUUUACCUAUUGUUUAAUCAAAUAAAAACAUAAGGUAUCUAUUGUUUCAUUUUAAUGGUGAUAAUUUGUCUUGGUUUAGUUUUUACGAAAUAAUUUAGGCACUGUUUAACUUGACCAAAAUAAUGUAACUACCAUUUUAAUUUACCUAGAAAAUAAAUGCUAUUUGAUUCUGUUUGGACCCAAUUUUACGCCAUCGGCCCAAGCAAUCGAGGCCGUUGAGUAAACAUGAUUCUUAAUCGUCGGAUAAGAAAGUUAAGAUAAUUUGCUAUUGUUAAGAGAUAAUAUGAUGGUUUUUAAUCAUAAUAAUUAUCUUUUAAUAAAUUAUCUUAGUUUUCUUAUACAAAAUAAAUUAGAGAGAUUCUUGGACUCUUAACUUGGCCUAACAUGGAUCUGCAAGCCGAAGAUAAUGGUGGAUAGGACCUAAGCGGGCUAGGAUGUUGUCAGAUGAUGGAAGACUUGCAUGCCGUGUGAAAAGCUACAAGUUGUAUAUAUAUGUAGGCUGUAUAGUUUGCAUGCCCAUCAACCUAUGUCGUGCAAAAAUCUCCCAGACUAUAUAGUUAUAUAUAUAUAGAUAAUGGUGGUUAUUUUGAUGGGAUUAAGCUUUGAUUGAUGUGAUAAGGUCUAAGGCGUGAAUGUAGGUGCAUAAAAGAUAAAGUGGUUAGAGUUUCAUUUAUUAUGAUUAUGCAUAGGAUAAAUGAGUGGUCAGCAGCAACAGUUAGAGAGUUGAAGUCACGAACUACAAUAUGAGGAUAUGCUUGUCUUUAGACGCGGAUCAACUUCAGGAAUUAGAGUUGCAAUUAAACUCUACAAUACUAUCAGACCUUGCCAAGCAGAAAAAUGAAUACUAUAAAUACAAGACUCGGUGCAACAUUCAAAGGACCUCCAAUUCAACACACAAAACUGCCCUGCGUAAACCCUCUCAACAACUUUGAGAUUUUUUAUUUUCUUUUUCACCGGCACAUCUUCAGUUGGCAUAAAUAGCAUUGUGGAGACAACCGGUGAUAUCUUCAGUUGGCAUAAACAGCACUGUUGCCGUAGAAUCAGCCGAUCUCGCAGCAUCUUCAGUUGGCAUAAAUAGCACUGUGUCGAGGCCGACUGGUUACCUAUCUAAGUCUCGGUCGAGAAGGAUUUUCGAAUCCUUGUUGGUCUAGGUCAUCUCAUCAGCCUUCUCGGCGAAGUGAGGUGUUACGAGUUACUACAUUCGGCACAUUGGAAGCCGAAUUUGAUAUUGAACUUCGUUAAGUUAGCAACCUUGUCUUCAGGCUCUAGAACCCGAAGGCCGAGACAAGUUCCUUCCUCGACCGCAAUCGCAAGAUGCAGAAGUCAACUGCGCACCCAACGCAACAUCAACAUAUUUUACUCUUCAACCGAGCUCGGCCGACGAGUUGGCACACCCCGUACACAACCAAAUGACGUAGUUAGCUUAUAGAUUACUCGGCAUGCGUGCCACGUAGGUUUGGUAGAUUUUAGGGUCAACAUUUUGGCACGCCCAGUGGGACCCAGUGCUAAAACUACAAAGUUCACAUGAUAUAUCAAGAUCACGAUCGGGAUGAGAUUUAGCGCCUAUUCAAGGAAAUUGUCGAGCAACAAAAACGCCUUGGCCAGAUCAUUGAAGCAAAUGAAGAAAGGCGAAAAUCUUUCUCUCAAAUGAUAAAGGUGAAGGUUCAUCACAGCUUACAAGAUCAAUGGUUAAAUGAAGAUAGAGCUCAAUAUUAUGAAUGGAUCGAUAAGAAAAUGCUUAUUGGGUUCAAAUCAAUUCCAUUUGAAGAAUGGUUGGAUCAAAAAGUCGGGGGGCAAAUUUCCGCUCCGGCCACAAUCAAAAUUUGGCCUCAGAACAUUGUCGAGACGGCCGAAGAAAAACCUAGGCCACCUGUUGUCUCGAUCGAGAUUGAAAGUGUGGUAGGCCUAGAAGAAAAAAUUUAAGUUUCUGAGCCACAAAUCUACUUAGAAAAUGAUUCGUCAAAUGAGUGCUCCAAUGACGAACAAGGCCGAGACAUAGGCUUAGCCAGAAAAACCGCGCCAAUUGAUAUGAUUAUUGGUGAUAAAGCCGAUAAGGAGAAAUCUCAUUCGGUCAAGUUAUUUGAAUUAAAAGCCGAAAUUAUGCCUGGGGGCAUAAUAAUUGUUCAACACAUUGGUGGCCAAAAAUGAAAAAUAUUUCACCAAGUUAGAAAUAUUUGGAGAUGAUCUUUUAUUCAGCUUUGGAAAAUGUCAAAGUGAAAAUUUUGAUGUAAAAAGAACUUGGCUUGGAAUAAAACAUCGUUGGCCUCCUCCUCUUGAUAGCUCGGCCACUUUUGUUUUCUUUUAUUAAGAAAAGGAAUAAAUUAUUUUCUUAAUCAUCUGGCUAAUUAAGCUGAUGCAUAAGAAAAUAAGGGGGCAAUGUCCAAAAGGAAUAGAUUUUGGCUGUCUAGGCCGAGGCAGUCUAGGCCGAGGCAGAUUCAGGUAAUCGGAUGUUUAGGCCGAGGUAAUCUUUUUUGCCGAGCUCGGCGAAAUUGGAUGCGUGCAUGCGAAUUUUUUCCUAAUGAUGGUAGACUUAUUCAACAAAAGUGGAUAUUUAAUUAGAUAUAGGCUUUAGCCUAUGGAUGUGGCUAAUGGGGAAUUGUCAGAAUACCAUUGGAAAGACAAAUAUAUAUAUUUUAUAUAAGUAAGACUCAGCCAUGAGGUUUUAUAGUCGAAGUUGGGUUGUCAAAUCCAAGAGUUAGGAUAUUUAAUGAGCUUCGGCCUUGGAUCAGUAUAUAUAUAUAUAGGCGCUGCCAAGAAAAAUUCUUCUAGACCUUGGUUUAGGUUUUCUCGGCCUCAGCCUGUUUUACCCUUUACCCCAAUUCUUUUCUACCCCUUCCCGAAUUCUUCUCGACCUUCUGGAGAGUUGCCGAGCCUGGUAUAGAGUUGCAGCAGUCGAGGAGGGCCGUGGCGUUGGCAGAACAUACAUGUUAUUUCCGAGGAACAAAAUUUGUUUCGGCAAUACAACGAAAUGUUGUCGGCUACGAACAGUUAAUUUCCUUAACCAUUCAGUUUACGAGCCGAAGCUCAAGGAAACUGGGAGGCAAUGUUUGGACCCGAUUUUACGCCAUCAGCCCAAGCAAUCGAGGUCGUUGAGUAAACAUGGUUCUUAAUCGUCGGAUAAGAAAGUUAAGAUAAUUUGCUAUUGUUAAGAGAUAAUAUGAUGGUUUUUAAUCAUAAUAAUUAUCUUUUAAUAAAUUAUCUUAGUUUUCUUGUACAAAAUAAAUUAUAGAGAUUCUUGGACUCUUCACUUAGCCUAACAUGGAUCUGCAAGCCGAAGAUAAUGGUGGAUAGGACCUAAGCGGGCUAGGAUGUUAUCAGAUGAUGGAAGACUUGCAUGCCGUGUGAAAAGCUAUAAGUUAUAUAUAUAUGUAGGCUGUAUAGUCUGCAUGCCAUCAGCCUAUGCCGUGCAAAAAUCUCCCAAACUAUAUAGUUAUAUAUAUAUAUAUAUAUAUAUAUAUAUAUAUAUAAUGGUGGUUAUUUUGAUAGGAUUAAGCUUUGAUUGAUGUGAUAAGGUCUAAGGCGUGACUGUAGGUGCAUAAAAGAUAAAGUGGUCAGAGUUUCAUUUAUUAUGAUUAUGCAUGGGAUAUAUGAGUGGUCAGUAGCAACAGUUAGAGAGUUGAAGUCACGAAUUACAAUAUGAGGAAAUGCUUGGCUUUUGACGCGGAUCAACUUCAGGAAUUAGAGUUGCAAUUAAACUCUACAAUAUUAUCAGACCUUGCCAAGCAGAAAAAUGAAUACUAUAAAUACAAGACUCGGUGCAACAUUCAAGGGACCUCCAAUUCAACACACAAAACUGCCAUGCGCAAACCCUCUCAACAACUUUGAGAUUUUUUAUUUUCUUUUUCGUCGACACAUCUUCAGUUGGCAUAAACAGCACUGUAAAGGCAACCGGUGAUAUCUUCAGUUGGCAUAAACAACACUGUCAUCGUAGAAUCAACUGAUCUCGCAACAUCUUCAGUUGGCAUAAACAACACUGCGUCGAGGCCGACUGGUUAUCUAUCCAAGUCUCGGUCGAGAAGGAUUUCCGAAUCCUUGUUGGUCGAGGUCAUCUCAUAAGCUUUCUCGGCGAAGUAAGGUGUUACGAGUUACUACAUUCGGCACAUUGGAAGCCGAAUUUGAUAUUGAACUUCGCUAAGUUAGCAGCCUUGUCUUCAGGCUCUAGAACCCGAAAGCUGAGACAAGUUCCUUCCUCUGCCGCAAUCGCAAGACGCAGAAGUCAGCCGCGCACCCAACGCAACAUCAACAUAUUUUACUCCUCGGUCGACGAGUUGGCACGCCCCGCACACAAUCGAAUGACGUAGUUAGCUCAUAGAUUACUCGGCAUGCGCGCCACAUAGGCUUGGUAGAUUUUAGGGUCAACAGAUUCAAAAUUAAUUUACUUAUAUUUUACUAUAAAUAUAGAUAAAUUAUUUUUAACAUGCAUAUAUAAUAACAAAUAAAAAAUGCCUAAUCUAUGUAAAAUAAUUUACCUACAACAUAAAGAACAUUAAUUGGUUUUAUUUUUUAUUUUUUAUCAAACAAUAUUAUUUGAUGCAAAAUAACUGAUUAUACAAAGGAUUUUCAUUUUUCAUACGAAAAAUGUGCCCAUAAUUGUUUAUGAAUAUGGAUAAAUUAGUGUAUAUAUAUACAUGUUACUAAUAUUUAUGAUACAAGAAAGGUAAAUUUCCAUAUGGGGUUAAUUGCUAAUCAUAAUUAGGGUGAGUAAUAAUAUUUAUUGACAUAAUUAGGGUUUUGUGGCAUAAGUUGUAAAUAUGUUGUAAUAAUUGGUUACAUAUUUGUCUACAUGGUAGUCUAUUUGAAUUUUGGGUUUUAUUUGAAUAUUUAUUACUGGGUGGGUUUUUGUUUGGAAAAUAGGAGUUUCAAGGGCCUUUAUCUAAAGAACUGACACACCCCGAUCCUAGAAUCAAGGUGUGCUGGCCGUCACGUGAGCGUGACGUAACCAAAAGAGCGAUACGGAAGUAAAAGAUAAAAGAAAUACGAAGGAAUAAAAACCAACUACUAGCAAUAAUAUCCAACUAACAUGCUAGAGUGAGUUUAAGUGUGAAACACACAUAUUCAGAGCAUAAGUACUAAGUGCAGUCAAGUAGAACCAUUACUAAAUUACAACACCCGAAAGUGAGUCCUACAUUUAAGUGGUCUAUCAUAACGCCAUGGGAAUCCUCGUGAGCCACCAACAUUGCUAACUAGAACCUGGAGGGGGCAAAACAAGAUUGAGUGGGUCAGUAAAACAAAUCUUUUUCAAAAACAUUAUCUUUUUUCAAAGGUUCUAACCCCUCGCCGUAAAACCUAUAACUUUCCCAGGAAUAUAAAAAUAUAAUUACUUAUCUCAAAACCAGCUCAGAAAUAGUGAUAUGUAAAGUAUAUGCCAUGUUAAAUAUAUUUCAUCAUAUCAUAAGUAUAUCAGUGAAGUUCAUCAUAAAUAAUAACAUGUCAACCGAGUGAUCAGCCCGGCUGAAACUAUAGCUCAUAAUCAAUCUCAUCAAUCAAUCUAGCCGGAGUCACCACAAG